This is a non-coding RNA of Trichobilharzia regenti, 45 nucleotides long. Lineage: Eukaryota; Metazoa; Platyhelminthes; Trematoda; Strigeidida; Schistosomatidae. The record is from Rfam.
AUCCAGAUGACGAUUCCAAAAUAGGACGAAAUGCGCAUCCUAGAU